AGAACGAGGUCCGACUUCCUACCGGAAAAUGGAGGCGGAAAAUCAAAGUCUUUAUCUGGCUGACAUAGGGAGAGAAACACAGGUCCAAAGUAAAGCUUUGGCAGAUCUGAAGGCUAGAGCCUGAGAUCUCACGGCAGGAUUCCAGACGAUUGGACAAAGGCAAACUUCAGGACCGGCUGUGGCCUAAGGGGAUUGAGUGAAGAAACGAAUAUUCACCCUUUUAGUCUUGCCUACUUUCUAUUUUCCUUGGCUCUUGGAAAUGAGUAAAAAAUGAUCUUGAGGGCUCACUACUAGACAGAAAUACUUGCCAUUACUUCUACCACGACUCUCUCAAGAGGGUGAAUAAUCAGGUUGAAAAACUCGAAGCAAAGCUACUUGUAACUGAUUCGACUCCUUCCCGUUAGCAUGCAUUUCACACAGGACUCCUAGCCUAUUGCCACUUCUCUCUUUCGCUUUUUGUUUGUCUUCACAACCGGACGCUGAUCACAAAAGUAGAGGGCAGAUAUACGCAGGAAAAAAAAAAAACCCACAAAAACACGAGGAGACACCUGUUUUCCUUUAAGUAUCAAAGCAGUUUGGAUGCGGGUGGCUUCGUUUUAUUUUGUGUUACAAUUUCAUCUGCGUAAGUAAUUUUGAUUUUUUCAAAGUGCGACUGUGAGUGUGUUUGUAUUUUGCAUGUCGACAAUUCACACACCGGAAGACUGUUGGAGAAGCGGACGGUCUCCUGCUGGCAAUGACAAGGAGUUCUGGAAAGAAUUCAGGCUGCAGUAGGGCUGAUGAGAACAUCAGUGGGCAGCUCUCCAGUCUCAUUGGCACAGGCUACACUGGAGAUGAAACAGGCCCCUGAUUCACUGAAGAUCCAACAGCAAACGGGAUUAUUUUAAGGCAACCCUAUGUUAAAGAAAAUGUAUUUUCUUUAUAGCUUUUCUCACAAGGUUCCAACCUCUCAUUUGUGGAGAAAUGCAAACUCAGAUCAGAAGAUUCCGCUUAGGAUCAAGUUGAGCCUUCAGAUGAGGCCACAGACCCUGAAUGGACAGCCUGCUUGCAGCUGGAUCCACAGAAACUGUGGGGAACUAUCUCCCAACUCCGGUGAUCACGCGUAGAAGCAGAGCAUGUAAUUGCUCCUGAAGACAAAUUGCUCCUGAAGACCUUUGUCCUGAAGACAAAGCUUGGGGAUUUUAGCUCGUUAAAAAUAAGUGUGUUGUGAUAUUUAGUGAUUCUUUCAAAAGACAGUUCUUAUCUAAAAUAGUGAUUGUGAGCUAAAUUUUGAAAACAAUCCCUUUCCUGAUGCAAAAUCUUGUCGUGAGUUGUUUGAGGUCAAGAGAAAGGUAAGAAAUGUACCAACUGGCACAUAGAGCCUCAAGGCACGAUAGACUGGCAUUUAACUGAAACCUUUCUUUUUCCCUGCCAGCAAUUCUCCAUCAGUUAAAAAAAUAAAGAAAUCAAGAAAGUUCAAAUAAGUAAUCGACUGUUCUUAGAGUGCUUUUAGAAAACUUGUGAUUUAUCUAACACCUGUGUAGGCCAUUUAAUGAACGUAUUAAUCUUUUGUGUUUAUUACAAGUUGGGUUUUAAUAAUUAAAUAGCAUCUUUACUAUUUACGUGUCCAAAAAGACAAAACCCAAAAAUGUAUUUAAUUAUUUAUUUUUCUACUUUUCUGUGUUUUCAAUAGUUUAUUUCUGUAUGAUUAAAUGAUUUGUGUAUCUGCCUAUGUACGAAGACAUGUUUACAUACACCGUGGGAAGAAGAAAGUUCAUGGCUGUCCAUUUGUUCUAGAUCAAUUAGCAUUGCAUUUAAGUAUCGCUUUUCUGAUAUCUAGACAAAAAGGGAACUAUAGAAUUAUCUCCAUCUAGUAGGAAUUCUUGAAGAACGGGAAGCAUAUUUUCAUUGUUAUAGCCCCAGUAGGCCAGGAUUUUUGCCAAAUAAGGGAAUGAAUGAAUGAAUGAAUGAGCAUAUCUCUGAUUUCUCAUGCUGAAGCUGUGCCAUUGUCUCCAAGUUUUGACUUCUCUUAAGCUUUUGAAAACUCAGCAGAUUGGAUAACCAAACUCCAACUGUUCAGACAUGAAAAAUCAAGGGUAAAUAAGCAGCCAUACAAAAUUUAAAGACAGAAAUUUAUUUUAGGGCAUGCUGUUAUAAUUCCUCAAUUGAUGUCAAGGUUACGUUGGGAAGCAACAUUUAUCUUUAUAACCUCACCAAUUUGGUAACAUGUAUUUUGAACUCAGUAAAAUAGGAGGGUCAGCCUCUGUUCAAUGGGAGAGAAAAUUUAACCUGUUCCAAAUACACAGCUUUAAGAUGGGGAUAUUUAAAAUAGCAAGUAAUACCAUUUAUUAAGCUCCACCCGGUGCCAGAGAACCAAAAGGUUUAUGCUGAUGUAUCUAUUUAAUCUUCAUAGCAAUUUGAAAAGUAAAUCCUGUUAUAUCUGUUUUAAACAUGAAGAGACUAAAAUCAGAGUGUUUGAGUAAAUUACUCAAUAUCAAACAACUGGUAAGAACCUGAACACAAGUUGAUUUCAAUGCAAAGCUCUUUCAGAUCCAAAACUAAUUACUGAGUUUCCUUGACUGAAAAAUGCUACUGACAGUGAGAUUGAGGAUGAGCAUUUAGGGGAGAAGGGACCAAAACAUUCAAUGCAAACACAAAUAAUGUCACUGAUUGAUGGUAAUAAUAUACAUUUAGUCUUACAAGUAGAUAACUGCCUCCUAUAGAAUCACAUACGCAAAAAAACAACGUGUAAACUUCUUGCACAUUGAAAAUGUCAAAGUCGUUUUGAAUCAGUUGUGUCCAUUGACAGUUAAACAGUAUCGUGAUAAUUAACUGAUUUUCAUAACUUUCACUCUUGGUCUCUUUGACACUAAUAUUAAAAGUACCAAUAUAAUCGCUAAGGUUCAUUGCA
Molecule: long non-coding RNA, 2887 nt
Organism: Felis catus (domestic cat)
Lineage: Eukaryota; Metazoa; Chordata; Mammalia; Carnivora; Felidae
Exons: 3
Source: RefSeq, a predicted model, not a curated record